Molecule: ribosomal RNA, 189 nt
Filed under: uncultured Enterobacter sp.
Lineage: Bacteria; Pseudomonadati; Pseudomonadota; Gammaproteobacteria; Enterobacterales; Enterobacteriaceae
Description: partial 16S ribosomal RNA
Rfam family: Bacterial small subunit ribosomal RNA
Source: RNAcentral
GGGAGGCAGCAGUGGGGAAUAUUGCACAAUGGGCGCAAGCCUGAUGCAGCCAUGCCGCGUGUAUGAAGAAGGCCUUCGGGUUGUAAAGUACUUUCAGCGGGGAGGAAGGCGAUACGGUUAAUAACCGUGUCGAUUGACGUUACCCGCAGAAGAAGCACCGGCUAACUCCGUGCCAGCAGCCGCGGUAAU